RNAcentral lists this ribosomal RNA (404 nucleotides) under uncultured bacterium. RNAcentral describes it as "bacterial SSU rRNA". It matches the Rfam family "Bacterial small subunit ribosomal RNA", at positions 359 to 775 of the family's 1533-position model. The record is from RNAcentral.
GAAUAUUGCACAAUGGGCGAAAGCCUGAUGCAGCGACGCCGCGUGAGGGAUGACGGCCUUCGGGUUGUAAACCUCUUUCAGCUCCGACGAAGCGAAAGUGACGGUAGGAGCAGAAGAAGCACCGGCCAACUACGUGCCAGCAGCCGCGGUAAUACGUAGGGUGCAAGCGUUGUCCGGAAUUAUUGGGCGUAAAGAGCUCGUAGGCGGCCUGUCACGUCGGUUGUGAAAACCUGGGGCUCAACCCCGGGCCUGCAACCGAUACGGGCAGGCUAGAAUUCGGUAGGGGAGACUGGAAUUCCUGGUGUAGCGGUGAAAUGCGCAGAUAUCAGGAGGAACACCGGUGGCGAAGGCGGGUCUCUGGGCCGAUAUUGACGCUGAGGAGCGAAAGCGUGGGGAGCAAACAG